GAUGAACGCUGGCGGCGUGCCUAAUACAUGCAAGUCGAGCGAACAGACGAGGAGCUUGCUCCUCUGACGUUAGCGGCGGACGGGUGAGUAACACGUGGAUAACCUACCUAUAAGACUGGGAUAACUUCGGGAAACCGGAGCUAAUACCGGAUAAUAUAUUGAACCGCAUGGUUCAAUAGUGAAAGACGGUUUUGCUGUCACUUAUAGAUGGAUCCGCGCCGCAUUAGCUAGUUGGUAAGGUAACGGCUUACCAAGGCAACGAUGCGUAGCCGACCUGAUAGGCGGAUCGCCCACCCUGGAACUGAGACAGGGUCCAGACUCCUACGGGAGGCAGCAGUAGGGAAUCGUCCGCAAUGGGCGAAAGCCUGACGGAGCAACGCCGCGUGAGUGAUGAAGGUCUUCGGAUCGUAAAACUCUGUUAUUAGGGAAGAACAAAUUUGUAAGUAACUAUGCACGUCUUGACGGUACCUAAUCAGAAAGCCACGGCUAACUACGUG
Molecule: ribosomal RNA, 497 nt
Filed under: uncultured bacterium
Lineage: Bacteria
Description: partial 16S ribosomal RNA
Rfam family: Bacterial small subunit ribosomal RNA
Source: RNAcentral